GUUGCGACUUUUAUGAAAAGUUGUGACUUUUAUGAAAUGUUGAAACUUUUAUCAUGAAAAGUUGCGACUUUUACGAAAUAUUGUUCCCUUUCUGAAAGGUUUUAACUUUCUAAAGAAUUGUGUCAUUUCCGAUAAGACACAUUAAUCAUUUUUUUACAAGUAGCAUUUGUUGUCUAUAAAUAGAGAAUUACAAUGUGCACACAAUGGGCUCGAUUUGUAUCAUUAUGUUUUAUUUCAAUGUUACAUAUCCUGGUAUAUUUUUUACA
RNAcentral lists this unclassified non-coding RNA (266 nucleotides) under Hevea brasiliensis (rubber tree). Lineage: Eukaryota; Viridiplantae; Streptophyta; Magnoliopsida; Malpighiales; Euphorbiaceae. The record is from RNAcentral.